CCUCUCUUGAAUGGCUACCGGCUCUCCCUCCUCUCCGUCCACUCCUUCUCCACUCCACGCGGCCGCCGCCUACGCCGAAGUGCCGCAGCCUCCUCAAAGAGCAGCAGUCAACGGAGCAAGCAGCAGCAACUCGCGGCAGCAGAAGCUACCCGUCCAUGCUCAGCUCGAUGCAGUGCUCCUCCUCGCCGGCGGGUGAGUGCUCCAACACGGCCGCAUCGAUCCACCAGCAAGCAAAGCUAGCCUCUAUCUAGCUAAUCGAGCCGCUCGAUCUGCUCUCACGUGUACUAGACCACUAGUAGUAUGUAUAUAGCUAGCUAAUCGAUCCACUCGAUUGAUUCCUAUGUGUAACAGCAGUACGUACUACGUAUGUGUGGGCGUUUGUAGCCGGGGUGUAUACAUAUACAUUUGAAUACUCAAAUACCUGGGGUCUGUACGCAUACAUUCGAAUACCUGCAAACCACAAUACCUCAGAUUUGGCACUCGGGUUAUAAGGUAUAAGCCGUGUGUAACAGGUGCCAGGCAUCCGGCUUAUAGGCACUACAAGCGGUGGCCUGCCAAAUAUAAGCCGAGAAGGAGGCACUCGGCUUAUAUAUAAUAUAUAUAAACCGAGCGUUGCGGGCGGCACUCGGCUUACAUCGAUGCUGACACAUGGCCGUUAACACAUGGCUACCGUCAUGUUACUUUAUUAAACCGUGUGCCUCGCGCAAACACUCGAUUUAUAUAUAAAUCGAGUUUUUUUAGCACGGCACCCGGCUUAUAUCUGGUAAGCCGGUCCCCUGUAAGCCGUGUCCUAUAAACCGGGAGUUUUACUCGGCUUAUAUAUAAGUCGAGUGCAAAUCGGCAUAAGCCGAGUGUAUUAGGCACACGGCUUACAAUUUUUUUCCUGUAGUGCGUGGAGGUUGGCUCAUAUUUGGUGUUUGUUACGUGUAGGUCGGAUCUGUUUUUCAGAAGAAAAGUAACAUAAAUCAUGCGGUAAAGAUAGAUCAAUUACAUAGAUCAACAGUUAAUAUAUUUUUAAUGAUGUGGAUUAACGUGGGGUCUUGCAUGGUGCUUCCAAUUAGUAAAUAUAAUAUAUAAGAUUUAUCAUAUUAUUAAUUAAAAAUUUAGCUGUAAAUAGGGCCCGCCCCAUUUUUGUCUGAGUUGCAAGUCUAUGCUCGACACACAACUGGGUCCGACCGUUUUUUGUCCUAGUUGGAAGUCCACGCUCGAGAUGCAACUGCAUGCCGACAGGGAGAUUGCAAUUAGUGGUGGGAGCAGGGUUGUCGGUAAGUUUAAUCUCCACAUUUAUAAAAUAUACGUGGUAUUUAGAAAAGUCAUGAUCAUUUUCCAAAAUUACGAAUUUUUUUACAGAGUAAGUUUUUUUUUCAGUUUAGAAAAAUAAGCAUGAUCUUUUUCCUAAUUUGUGAACAUUUUUUAUUUUCAUGAUUUUUUUUAAUUUUCCGUGUUUCCGUUCAUUUUAUUUCUUUCUAUUUCCCCUUCUUUCUUCCCUUUUAUCGUUAUCUUAUUUAGCUUUUAAUUUCAGAAUUUUUUUCCUAGUUUUUUUCUUUUGGUUGUCGUUUUUCAUGGUUUACUUAAAAAUGUUCAUAGUGCAUUUUUAAAAUAUAUUCACCAUGUUUUAAAAUGUACAUCACAUAUUUUUUUAGAAAAUUUCAAAGCAUUAAAUAUAUGUUCACCGUGUUUUAAAAUGUACUAACCAUCUUAUAUGAAAUGUUUGUUGCAUUUUGAGAAUAUUUCAUGAUGUUAUACAAGUUUUUCGUCAUGUGUUUAAAAAAUGGUCACCACAUUUAAAAAAUGUAUAUUGCAUAGUAAGAAAAGUGCUCAUUUUUUACAUUAUAAAAAUGUUCACAAUUAUUUUUCUAGAACUAUUCACAUAAUCUUAGAAAAACUAUUCACCUCGUUCUACAAUUAAUUCACCAAUUUUUUUUAAAGAAAAAUGCUUACUUUGUCACUCAAGUAUUUGUUAUACCAUGUUAAGUCAUCCCUAGUAUUGAACGUGUGUGUCCAUUGAGAAAAUAAGUCAACACUAGUACAUUGCUGACUCAAAAUCCAGUAGCCCGUGAACGUGUGUAGUACAUUUGAGAAGAUGUCUGUAUUUCAUUAAAUGCCAGUAGCCAGCGACAGGACAAUACAGAUUUAGCCAUUAAUUAUUGAUAAUAAAGAAAUAACAUAAAAUUUGAUGAAAGAUUUCAUCCAGAUGUAACAAGACGACAACAGAUUGACGAACUACCGUCCACUGUUGAAUGCUUUCACUUGAACGGAUGGACACGUGUUUCGACCUCAUCUUCUCAGUAUGGGAACAGGAAGCCGGCGUUCGUCUCCAGCCCGGCAGGGAUCUCCGGCAACGGAGGCAUCGCCAUAAGCAACUGCUGUACCGCUACCCCCAUCUCGCCGUCGAACCCUGGCUGCUGAGGAAUCGCCAUCUGCAUCUUCUCCAUAUCCAUCCCCGCGGCGAACCCCGGCGGCGGAGGCAUCUCCUGAAUAUCCAUCCCGACAGCUGCAUCACCAUCUGAUGCUACAUAUUCAUCCCGGGGGCAAACCACUGAGGCGGAGGCUGCUUUGCCAUCACCAUCUCCUGGCUCCUGCUACUACAGAACUCAAAAGUACUGCCACCGAAGAGCUGCCAUUGCCUCGAGGAGAACCUUGGCGUGUUCGGAGACGAUGUCCUUCACCUUCAUCGGGUGGACCCAAGCCGCUAUCUGGUCCCCCAUGUCGCGCUCCUUCGCCAUGACCUCCUGCUUGUGCUCCGUUCGCUUCUUCACCUUGAUAGCAAGCAAUGGUGGCCAAGAGGAAGGGUCGCGACGGCCGGUAGAAGACCGUCCCCCACCGGAUCAUCAAGGAGGACGCCCGGCAUGUGUGCUUCUCCGAGCGUUUCCGGGGGAUAUUCAACAAGGCCAGCGAGCAGGCCCUGCUCACUAGCGCCCAGGUGGCCAUUGUCGGCUUAAUGCCCGGCGGCAAGGCCUUCUCCUUCGGCGAUUCAUCAAUAGACGUUGUCGUCAACCACUUCAGGGUGGGGGACGGCGCUGCCGACAACAACUGGUUGCAAACGUUGCGCCGGCAGCAUGGCGAGGUGCGCACAGAGCUGGCGGAGCGGAAGAAGCGGAUGAAGAGUGCGGACGAGGCCCUGCUUCAGGAACACGCUGUGGGGACCACACGGCAGCGUGGGUCGAACUCGAUGUGAGCAACAUGGGGUAUGAGGACAUGGCGGUGUUCGCCACAGUGCUCAUCCAGGAGCAGGCCGCCGGACGCACCAACCAGGUUCUCAUGGAGGUCUUUCAUGUCCACAUCAGCCGUAACCUCCAGGUGCCCCCGCCGCUGCCGCCAGCCCAGCUCUUGGGUACCCCGGCUUAUCAACCAGGUACGUCGAAAACAUGUUUUCGAGCAUAUGCACCCGGGCCCUUCAUAUCUAGCAGCUCAUUUUCUAACUUGUAUGUGGGAUUAAACUUUCAUAAUUUUUCUUCCAAUAGAAAUAGGAAAAUGAGAUUUGUUUGAUUCAAAAAUCAUUUUUUUAGUAUUUAUGUUGUAGCAAAAAAUCAGAAAGUUUCAUCCCACAUUCUAGGUAAAAAGUUUUGUUCUGCCACAAAUUUUAAAGUUUAAUACAUGUUUUAUAUGACAGAAACAAAAAAAGAGAAAUUUUCAUGUAGUUAGUUAGUUGUGUAGCACAGAUCUCAACGCAACAUUGGAGUAGCCAGGAUAACAAGGGCCGGGUGCAUAUGCUCAAAAAUUCUACAUCCUUGAGUUCGGUAGCAGCAGCACAUGCAAGCAUUCACCAGAUGCAGAUGGCGAUGCAUCCAGCACAGGUGUUCGCUGCCGGCACGAAGAUGCAGAUGGUGAUACUGCCGCCGCCGGGAUGCACAUGGCGGCACUGGUUCUCCGCCGGGAUGGAGAUAGAGCUGAUGCUGAUGGCCAUGCUGCCGACGGUGCCGGAGUUCCCCGCCAGGAUGGACAUGUCCCAGCAGUAGCUCGGGCGAAUCACGGCUUCCCCUACUGAGGAGAAGAAGACAUGGACGUGGAUCAAUCAUUUAGUUCGUGGUCACAGUGAUAUCCAAAAAAAAUCGUGCAGGUUCCAUGGAAGAUCUAUGCAUUAGUUGGUUCAAUUAUCGUAGUAGUACUGUAUUAGUUCUAAUGUUUUUUUUCAUGCUAAGUACAUGCCUUUUCAUAGUUCAAACCUUUCAAUUUUUUCAUGCUUAAGUUCGUG
Molecule: ribosomal RNA, 4195 nt
Filed under: Triticum aestivum (bread wheat)
Lineage: Eukaryota; Viridiplantae; Streptophyta; Magnoliopsida; Poales; Poaceae
Description: partial small subunit ribosomal RNA
Source: RNAcentral